CAGUAUUGCAUCUUUCCUAAGCUGCUCAUGCAAGGGAAAGCCGAGCUUGCUCAAUCUUUCCAUCAGCUCGAUCAUGUAUAAUACAUGAUCAGUGACAGAGGCACCAUCCCGCAUUUUGGCGUUGAAGAUGGCACAACUAGUCUUGUGCCUCUCUACGUUAUCGGGUGUGCCAAAGGCAUCCUCCAACACUUGAAGCAUGUUCUUUGGCUGAGCCAUCUCGAAUCUGUGACUGAACUCAUCGCUCAUGGCAGCCAGCAUGAUACAGCGCACCGUGGUCCGAUCACUGAGCCACUUCUGGUAAGUGUCUCUGACUGUUCCACAUGCAUUGGCAGCUGGCUCCUCAGGUGCAGGAUCCAUUAUCACAUAUAGGAUCCGU
This 376-nucleotide long non-coding RNA is filed under the name Elaeis guineensis (African oil palm). RNAcentral's name for it is "long non-coding RNA (EGUI_LNC070186)". The record is from RNAcentral. Lineage: Eukaryota; Viridiplantae; Streptophyta; Magnoliopsida; Arecales; Arecaceae.